UAAGGGAAGCCUUCACUUUUCAACACGGUAAAGAGACUUGGAGUGUGUUCGGAGCACAGAAGUAGAGCCACAUUAUCUGGGUUUGAAUCUGGAGCUGCCACUCUCAAUGUUAGGUGACAGGGAUGACAACAUCCAGACAUUUCCAUUCGUGUCUGUCAGCAUCUGCGUCUGAAGCUCCAGGCUAGCAAAAGCAGAGGACACAACUUUUCUAUCAGGAGGAUGGAUUGUGUCUUUGAAGAAGGCAGGCGGCUGACCGUUGGUCAAAGCAAAGGAAGUGAACGACCCUUGCAUCUUUCUCCAUCUGGGCAGAGAACCUGGGUGUGUCCAUCUGGCAGCUAUAGAGUUCCAAGAAUUCCAAGGAAUGGAAGGGUAUGAGGUCUCUUGAGACCGAUUUUCAAGAGGUAUAAUCUUACUUCUAUUAUAUACCACUGGCAAGCUCCUUUGCCUGAUGAGGACAAUUACUUCACCCACACAAACUGUGGGUGACCACUGAGUGCUGCUGAAGGGCUGUUGUGUGGUUGCAUAUGCUGUGUUAAACACAUGCAAGUCAUUACUUUUCCUUUACCCUAAUGUCCUGUAUCAUCUUGACCUUGAUCUGACCUACCUACGGUGCCUAAACUCUAAUUAAUGCACAAUUAAUUCUUGGGGCCACAGUGGGUAGGUGGGUUCUGUGUUAUUUACCAUUGGCACAGCUUCUCUAACCCCGAGGCCAGAGACUUCCCUCCUCGGGUGUCUGGACUCCUGGUCCACUGUCCUGCUGCUCGUCCUCUUGCCAUCAGGAUAGCGCUCACUGCUGAAGUCCAUUUACCUUCUAGACACGCCUUCUUCCCAGGUUAGUGGUCUCAUAGCUAGGUUCUUCCCUUUCUUCUUCCAUAGCUUCAUCUCUUCCCAUCCCCCACUUGCUAUUCUGACCUUUGUUUUUAUGCCAGGGAGGUUGCUAAGAAAUUACACAAUUGUCUGAUUCAUCCUGACAUCAGUCCUAUAGCACAGGAAUUACUCCCAUCACCAUUUUCCUGAUGAAAAGACUGAGAUGUGUAGAGUUCACAUGCCUCCUCAAGACCACAAACUACGUGAGUAGGAGAACCAAAAUUAAACUCAAGGUCUGCUCCAAAACUCAUCCUUUGUUGCUCAGUUGUGUGUUCUGUGGCAACUUCCUGCUAGAAUGUUUCUCCUCUCUGUCUGGAUGGUCUACAUGUUCUCAGCAUUUUCUCAAAACUACCAUCACCCUCAUCCCUUGCUUUGACUUUUAUCUAGGACAAUAGACCCUUCUCUAAGGAUAUUGUUCUGUGAUGUCUGUCAUGAUUGUGGAUAGACACAUGUGGCUUUAGAGCACUUGAUAGAUUGUUAGUAUGAAGAUACAUGAACACACACAUACAAUCAUAUAUAUAUGAAUGAGACUGGGUCUAAUGUAGCCUAGACAAGUUGGCCUUGAACUCAUUAUGUG
This is a long non-coding RNA of Peromyscus eremicus (cactus mouse), 1444 nucleotides long. RefSeq lists it as uncharacterized. The record is from RefSeq and is a predicted model, not a curated record. Lineage: Eukaryota; Metazoa; Chordata; Mammalia; Rodentia; Cricetidae. The transcript is spliced from 3 exons.